GGAACGCGAAGAACCUUACCAAGUCUUGACAUCCUGCGACGCACAUAGAAAUAUGUGUUUCCUUCGGGACGCAGAGACAGGUGGUGCAUGUUUCGUCAGCUCGUGUCGUGAGAUGUUGGGUUAAGUCCCGCAACGAGCGCAACCCUUAUGGUCAGUUACUACGCAAGAGGACUCUGGCCAGACUGCCGUUGACAAAACGGAGGAAGGUGGGGAUGACGUCAAAUCAUCAUGACCUUUAUGACUUGGGCUACACACGUACUACAAUGGCGUUAAACAAAGAGAAGCAAGACCGCGAGGUGGAGCAAAACUCAGAAACAACGUCCCAGUUCGGACUGCAGGCUGCAACUCGCCUGCACGAAGUCGGAAUUGCUAGUAAUCGCAGAUCAGCAUGCUGCGGUGAAUACGUUCCCGGGCCUUGUACACAC
Molecule: ribosomal RNA, 425 nt
Filed under: uncultured bacterium
Lineage: Bacteria
Description: bacterial SSU rRNA
Rfam family: Bacterial small subunit ribosomal RNA
Source: RNAcentral